CCAGGCUGGAUUCAGACCUGGACGUGGCUGUUUAGACCACAUCUUCACACUGCGACAGGUCCUGGAACACAGACACA
This 77-nucleotide non-coding RNA is filed under the name Schistosoma japonicum. Lineage: Eukaryota; Metazoa; Platyhelminthes; Trematoda; Strigeidida; Schistosomatidae. The record is from RNAcentral.